Molecule: ribosomal RNA, 254 nt
Filed under: uncultured Janthinobacterium sp.
Lineage: Bacteria; Pseudomonadati; Pseudomonadota; Betaproteobacteria; Burkholderiales; Oxalobacteraceae
Description: partial 16S ribosomal RNA
Rfam family: Bacterial small subunit ribosomal RNA
Source: RNAcentral
AGCUCACGUAAGAGUUUGAUCAUGGCUCAGAUUGAACGCUGGCGGCAUGCCUUACACAUGCAAGUCGAACGGCAGCGCGGGGCAACCUGGCGGCGAGUGGCGAACGGGUGAGUAAUAUAUCGGAACGUACCCUGGAGUGGGGGAUAACUAGCGAAAGUUACGCUAAUACCGCAUACGAUCUAAGGAUGAAAGCAGGGGACCGCAAGGCCUUGUGCUCCUGGAGCGGCCGAUAUCUGAUCAGCUAGUUGGUGGGG